GGGAGAGAGUGGUUUUAGGUGGGAGGGAUAGACUCGAGUGGGGUUUGAAGUAAAGAUGUCAAAUACUUGGAGACACAAGUUGGCCGCUUGAGAGAGCUCAGGCAAGAGAGAGAUUUGGAAGUGACAAUUGAAGACAUACCAGAAGGUAGUUUUGCUAAGUCACAACAAUCAAGAUUGGAAGAAGAGGUUGCUCCGGGAUCCCCUUUCUCAAUAACAGAAGAAAGAGAGUUGCCAGAAGGAAUUUCCACUUCAUCCCUAGAAGUUGUGCCAGAGAACUUGAACGGUUCUGCCAUUCUCCCAACAUUUGAAAACUUCACUAAAAAACGGAAAAGAAAAUAUGAGCUUAGGUACAGAAAGCGUCCGCUUAAUUCAGAAAAUGCAAAGAAAGCACCGGAUUGCCUAAUAAAACUUUUAAACCAGAUGCAACUGUUCAGACUCAAUAAACUAGAGCGCUUUCAAAAUUUGGUUCUUCAAGAGUUGAGCAGUCUUAAGCAGGAUAUUCAGGCCCUGGAACACCUUGAGAAGGAGGUUCUGGAAUUCUGGGGGAAACAGUCUGCUGAUCUGCAGUCUUUCUGUGAUCUGCAAGUGCUGAGGUUCAAUUCAACUCAGACUUCAUAAGAAAGCCAAAGCCUGGUUUUAUGAUUGCAGCCCUCAGGAUUGAGUGUGGUAAUAAAGGAAACAGAUGAGGAUUCAUGCCAGUGCUAAGAAGGAAAACACUGUGGAUAAGAGAGAG
This 733-nucleotide long non-coding RNA is filed under the name Pan troglodytes (chimpanzee). RNAcentral's name for it is "long non-coding RNA NONPTRT014493". The record is from RNAcentral. Lineage: Eukaryota; Metazoa; Chordata; Mammalia; Primates; Hominidae.